Non-coding RNA from Cinara cedri, 478 nucleotides. The record is from the annotation of a GenBank genome assembly. Lineage: Eukaryota; Metazoa; Arthropoda; Insecta; Hemiptera; Aphididae.
UAAUGCAAUAGCUCACUUACAGAGACACCUAAUGGAUUACAAUUAUUAUCCUAUAUAUUAUUAUUUAUUACUAUAUUUUUUAAUUUAGUUUUAUCGUAUCGGUUUUAUAGGAAUUAUCUGUAAUGAUGACGAAAAACCCAUCAGUGGCGUAUCUAAAGAUAAUGACAAUCAGUGUUCAAUCAAUGACUAUUGUUGUUCUAGAAAUUGCCGUUUUUCGAUCGAUUUCAAUAAAUAUUGCCGACGCCUUUAAUGAAAAUAUUACGCACGGUCUCAGGUAUUACCUAUUUAAUAUUUUACUAUAAUAAAAUAUAUUACAUGCGUACUUAUAGUCGUAUACUCUUAUUCUUCGUUUUCUUAUAUGGUUUUGACUACUCCUUAAAGGUCUCAUACACUAUCAUUUAAAAUUGUUAGCUUAUGUAUGUAAAUAAGUCAUAAGUGAUAAUCUUUUUUGAUAAAUGAUGAAUUCCAAACAUGUUUG